RNAcentral lists this ribosomal RNA (253 nucleotides) under uncultured bacterium. RNAcentral describes it as "partial 16S ribosomal RNA". It matches the Rfam family "Bacterial small subunit ribosomal RNA", at positions 524 to 776 of the family's 1533-position model. The record is from RNAcentral.
UACGGAGGGUGCAAGCGUUAAUCGGAAUUACUGGGUGUAAAGCGCACGCAGGCGGUUUGUUAAGUCAGAUGUGAAAUCCCCAGGCUCAACCUGGGAACUGCAUCUGAUACUGGCAAGCUUGAGUCCCGUUGAAGUGGGUAGAAUUCCAGGUGUAGCGGUGAAAUGCGUAGAUAUCUGGAGGAAUACCGGUGGCGAAGGCGGCCCCCUGGACGAAGACUGACGCUGAGGUGCGAAAGCGUGGGGAGCAAACAGG